Molecule: ribosomal RNA, 972 nt
Filed under: uncultured bacterium
Lineage: Bacteria
Description: bacterial SSU rRNA
Rfam family: Bacterial small subunit ribosomal RNA
Source: RNAcentral
GAGAGAUCUGACGGUACUGAUGAUAGCCACGGCUAUCGUGCCAGCAGCGCGUAUACGGGAGUGGCAAGCGUAUCCGGAAUUAUUGGGCGUAAAGCGUCGCAGGCGGCCCUUCAAGUCUGCUGUUAAAAAGUGGAGCUUAACUCCAUCAUGGCAGUGGAAACUGUUGGGCUUGAGUGUGGUAGGGGCAGAGGGAAUUCCCGGUGUAGCGGUGAAAUGCGUAGAUAUCGGGAAGAACACCAGUGGCGAAGGCGCUCUGCUGGGCCAUCACUGACGCUCAUGGACGAAAGCCAGGGGAGCGAAAGGGAUUAGAUACCCCUGUAGUCCUGGCCGUAAACGAUGAACACUAGGUGUCGGGGGAAUCGACCCCCUCGGUGUCGUAGCCAACGCGUUAAGUGUUCCGCCUGGGGAGUACGCACGCAAGUGUGAAACUCAAAGGAAUUGACGGGGGCCCGCACAAGCGGUGGAGUAUGUGGUUUAAUUCGAUGCAACGCGAAGAACCUUACCAGGGUUUGACAUCCUGCGAAUCUCUUGGAAACAGGAGAGUGCCUUCGGGAACGCAGUGACAGGUGGUGCAUGGCCGUCGUCAGCUCGUGUCGUGAGAUGUUGGGUUAAGUCCCGCAACGAGCGCAACCCACGUCUUUAGUUGCCAGCAUUUAGUUGGGCACUCUAGAGAGACUGCCGGUGAUAAACCGGAGGAAGGUGUGGAUGACGUCAAGUCAUCAUGCCCCUUACAUCCUGGGCUACACACGUACUACAAUGCUACGGACAAAGGGCUGCAAGUUCGCGAGGACAAGCAAAUCCCAUAAACCGUGGCUCAGUUCAGAUCGUAGGCUGCAACUCGCCUACGUGAAGGCGGAAUCGCUAGUAAUCGCAGGUCAGCAUACUGCGGUGAAUACGUUCCCGGGCCUUGUACACACCGCCCGUCACACCAUGGAAGUUGGCCACGCCCGAAGCCGUUACUCCAACCCUUGU